RNAcentral lists this transfer RNA (67 nucleotides) under Scopura montana. RNAcentral's name for it is "tRNA-Ile". Lineage: Eukaryota; Metazoa; Arthropoda; Insecta; Plecoptera; Scopuridae. The record is from RNAcentral.
AAUGAAGUGCCUGAUUAAAGGGCUAUCUUGAUAGGAUAGAUUAAGUAAUUUGAUAUUACCCUCAUUA